GGAUCCAGACUUUGAUCAUGGCUCAGGAUGAACGCUAGCUACAGGCUUAACACAUGCAAGUCGAGGGGAAACGAUAGAGAAAGCUUGCUUUUUCUAGGCGUCGACCGGCGCACGGGUGAGUAACGCGUAUCCAACCUGCCCAUCACUUGGGGAUAACCUUGCGAAAGUAAGACUAAUACCCAAUGAUAUCUCAAGAAGACAUCUGAAUGAGAUUAAAGAUUUAUCGGUGAUGGAUGGGGAUGCGUCUGAUUAGCUUGUUGGCGGGGUAACGGCCCACCAAGGCGACGAUCAGUAGGGGUUCUGAGAGGAAGGUCCCCCACAUUGGAACUGAGACACGGUCCAAACUCCUACGGGAGGCAGCAGUGAGGAAUAUUGGUCAAUGGGCGAGAGCCUGAACCAGCCAAGUAGCGUGCAGGAAGACGGCCCUAUGGGUUGUAAACUGCUUUUAUAAGGGAAUAAAGUGAGUCUCGUGAGACUUUUUGCAUGUACCUUAUGAAUAAGGACCGGCUAAUUCCGUGCCAGCAGCCGCGGUAAUACGGAAGGUCCGGGCGUUAUCCGGAUUUAUUGGGUUUAAAGGGAGCGUAGGCCGGAGAUUAAGCGUGUUGUGAAAUGUAGAUGCUCAACAUCUGCACUGCAGCGCGAACUGGUUUCCUUAAGUACGCACAAAGUGGGCGGAAUUCGUGGUGUAGCGGUGAAAUGCUUAGAUAUCACGAAGAACUCCGAUUGCGAAGGCAGCUCACUGGAGCGCAACUGACGCUGAAGCUCGAAAGUGCGGGUAUCGAACAGGAUUAGAUACCCUGGUAGUCCGCACGGUAAACGAUGGAUGCCCGCUGUUGGUCUGAAUAGGUCAGCGGCCAAGCGAAAGCAUUAAGCAUCCCACCUGGGGAGUACGCCGGCAACGGUGCAACUCAA
Molecule: ribosomal RNA, 912 nt
Filed under: uncultured Bacteroidota bacterium
Lineage: Bacteria; Pseudomonadati; Bacteroidota
Description: bacterial SSU rRNA
Rfam family: Bacterial small subunit ribosomal RNA
Source: RNAcentral